This 1532-nucleotide ribosomal RNA is filed under the name Klebsiella quasipneumoniae. Its description in RNAcentral is "bacterial SSU rRNA". It matches the Rfam family "Bacterial small subunit ribosomal RNA". Lineage: Bacteria; Pseudomonadati; Pseudomonadota; Gammaproteobacteria; Enterobacterales; Enterobacteriaceae. The record is from RNAcentral.
UUGAAGAGUUUGAUCAUGGCUCAGAUUGAACGCUGGCGGCAGGCCUAACACAUGCAAGUCGAGCGGUAGCACAGAGAGCUUGCUCUCGGGUGACGAGCGGCGGACGGGUGAGUAAUGUCUGGGAAACUGCCUGAUGGAGGGGGAUAACUACUGGAAACGGUAGCUAAUACCGCAUAACGUCGCAAGACCAAAGUGGGGGACCUUCGGGCCUCAUGCCAUCAGAUGUGCCCAGAUGGGAUUAGCUAGUAGGUGGGGUAACGGCUCACCUAGGCGACGAUCCCUAGCUGGUCUGAGAGGAUGACCAGCCACACUGGAACUGAGACACGGUCCAGACUCCUACGGGAGGCAGCAGUGGGGAAUAUUGCACAAUGGGCGCAAGCCUGAUGCAGCCAUGCCGCGUGUAUGAAGAAGGCCUUCGGGUUGUAAAGUACUUUCAGCGGGGAGGAAGGCGAUAAGGUUAAUAACCUUGUCGAUUGACGUUACCCGCAGAAGAAGCACCGGCUAACUCCGUGCCAGCAGCCGCGGUAAUACGGAGGGUGCAAGCGUUAAUCGGAAUUACUGGGCGUAAAGCGCACGCAGGCGGUCUGUCAAGUCGGAUGUGAAAUCCCCGGGCUCAACCUGGGAACUGCAUUCGAAACUGGCAGGCUAGAGUCUUGUAGAGGGGGGUAGAAUUCCAGGUGUAGCGGUGAAAUGCGUAGAGAUCUGGAGGAAUACCGGUGGCGAAGGCGGCCCCCUGGACAAAGACUGACGCUCAGGUGCGAAAGCGUGGGGAGCAAACAGGAUUAGAUACCCUGGUAGUCCACGCCGUAAACGAUGUCGAUUUGGAGGUUGUGCCCUUGAGGCGUGGCUUCCGGAGCUAACGCGUUAAAUCGACCGCCUGGGGAGUACGGCCGCAAGGUUAAAACUCAAAUGAAUUGACGGGGGCCCGCACAAGCGGUGGAGCAUGUGGUUUAAUUCGAUGCAACGCGAAGAACCUUACCUGGUCUUGACAUCCACAGAACUUAGCAGAGAUGCUUUGGUGCCUUCGGGAACUGUGAGACAGGUGCUGCAUGGCUGUCGUCAGCUCGUGUUGUGAAAUGUUGGGUUAAGUCCCGCAACGAGCGCAACCCUUAUCCUUUGUUGCCAGCGGUUCGGCCGGGAACUCAAAGGAGACUGCCAGUGAUAAACUGGAGGAAGGUGGGGAUGACGUCAAGUCAUCAUGGCCCUUACGACCAGGGCUACACACGUGCUACAAUGGCAUACAAAGAGAAGCGACCUCGCGAGAGCAAGCGGACCUCAUAAAGUGUCGUAGUCCGGAUUGGAGUCUGCAACUCGACUCCAUGAAGUCGGAAUCGCUAGUAAUCGUAGAUCAGAAUGCUACGGUGAAUACGUUCCCGGGCCUUGUACACACCGCCCGUCACACCAUGGGAGUGGGUUGCAAAAGAAGUAGGUAGCUUAACCUUCGGGAGGGCGCUUACCACUUUGUGAUUCAUGACUGGGGUGAAGUCGUAACAAGGUAACCGUAGGGGAACCUGCGGUUGGAUCACCUCCUU